UGGGGAAUUUUGGACAAUGGGCGAAAGCCUGAUCCAGCAAUGCCGCGUGUGUGAAGAAGGCCUUCGGGUUGUAAAGCACUUUUGUCCGGAAAGAAAUGGCUCUGGUUAAUACCUGGGGUCGAUGACGGUACCGGAAGGAUAAGGACCGGCUAACUACGUGCCAGCAGCCGCGGUAAUACGUAGGGUCCAAGCGUUAAUCGGAAUUACUGGGCGUAAAGCGUGCGCAGGCGGUUGUGCAAGACCGAUGUGAAAUCCCCGAGCUUAACUUGGGAAUUGCAUUGGUGACUGCACGGCUAGAGUGUGUCAGAGGGGGGUAGAAUUCCACGUGUAGCAGUGAAAUGCGUAGAGAUGUGGAGGAAUACCGAUGGCGAAGGCAGCCCCCUGGGAUAACACUGACGCUCAUGCACGAAAGCGUGGGGAGCAAACAGGAUUAGAUACCCUGGUAGUCCACGCCCUAAACGAUGUCAACUAGUUGUUGGGGAUUCAUUUCCUUAGUAACGUAGCUAACGCGUGAAGUUGACCGCCUGGGGAGUACGGUCGCAAGAUUAAAACUCAAAUGAAUUGACGGGGUCAUAGCUGUUU
This 582-nucleotide ribosomal RNA is filed under the name uncultured bacterium. RNAcentral describes it as "partial 16S ribosomal RNA". It matches the Rfam family "Bacterial small subunit ribosomal RNA", at positions 355 to 935 of the family's 1533-position model. The record is from RNAcentral.